Molecule: ribosomal RNA, 777 nt
Filed under: uncultured Neocallimastigales
Lineage: Eukaryota; Fungi; Neocallimastigomycota; Neocallimastigomycetes; Neocallimastigales
Description: partial large subunit ribosomal RNA
Rfam family: Eukaryotic large subunit ribosomal RNA
Source: RNAcentral
GAGACUCUGUGCGCGUGCAUAUCAAUAAGCGGAGGAAAAGAAACUAACAAGGAUUCCCUUAGUAACGGCGAGUGAAGCGGGAAGAGCUCAAAUUUGAAAUCUUCAAGGUUUUACCUUGACGAAUUGUAGUUUAAAGAAGUGUUUUCUGUUGGAGUUUCGGUAAAAGUUCUUUGGAAUAGGACAUCAUAGAGGGUGAGAAUCCCGUAUUUGACCGUUACUUUCCAGCUGUGUGAUACACUUUCAAAGAGUCGGAUUGUUUGGGAAUGCAGUCCAAAAUGGGUGGUAAAUUUCAUCUAAAGCUAAAUAUUGGCGAGAGACCGAUAGCGAACAAGUACCGUGAGGGAAAGAUGAAAAGAACUUUGAAAAGAGAGUUAAACAGUACGUGAAAUUGUCAAAAGGGAAGCGUUUGACACCAGUGUAUGUUUAGUUGAAAAUCAAUUCAAUAAUUUUUGAUUCUGAGUAGUAUUGACUUCAUCAGCUUGCUGCUUUCUUCUCAGGAAAUUAUUGAAUGCACUUUUCAGUUAACAAGUCAACAUCAAUUUCUUUUGUUGUAAAAGGGUAAGAGGAAGGUGGCUUACGCUUCGGCGUAAGUGUUUAUAGCCUUUUACCUCUGCAAUCGGAGAGAUUGAGGACAGCAGCGUAGACUCUUCGGGGUUAGAUACACUUGUGCUAAGCUAUAGCCUUGUAUAGACAACUUGUUGACUAUGCUCAGUCAUGUAGCUUACUCGCUUGUGCUAUUUUACCUACGCUUAGGAUGUUGAUCUGUAGUGCGUGCGC